RNAcentral lists this ribosomal RNA (815 nucleotides) under uncultured bacterium. RNAcentral's name for it is "bacterial SSU rRNA". It matches the Rfam family "Bacterial small subunit ribosomal RNA", at positions 58 to 850 of the family's 1533-position model. The record is from RNAcentral.
CAAGUCGAACGUGAAAGCUCCCUUCGGGGGGCAAGUAGAGUGGCGCACGGGUGAGUAACACGUAGGUAAUCUACCUUCGGGUGGGGAAUAACGACCGGAAACGGUUGCUAAUACCGCAUAAUGCAGCGGCACCUAAUGGUGACAGUUGUUAAAGCGGGGGAUCGAAAGACCUCGCGUCUGAAGAGGAGCCUGCGGCGGAUUAGCUAGUUGGUAAGGUAAUGGCUUACCAAGGCGACGAUCCGUAGCCGGCCUGAGAGGGCGGUCGGCCACACUGACACUGACAUACGGGUCAGACUCCUACGGGAGGCAGCAGUCGGGAAUUUUGGGCAAUGGGCGAAAGCCUGACCCAGCAACGCCGCGUGAAGGAUGAAAUCCCUCGGGAUGUAAACUUCGCAAGAACGGGAAGAAUAAGUCGGUGCUAACACCACCGGCGAUGACGGUACCGUUUGUAAGCUCCGGCUAACUCCGUGCCAGCAGCCGCGGUAAUACGGGGGGAGCAAGCGUUGUUCGGAUUUACUGGGCGUAAAGGGCGCGUAGGCGGCCACCGCAAGUCAAUUGUGAAAUCUCCGGGCUUAACUCGGAAAGGUCAACUGAUACUGCGGGGCUAGAGUGCAGAAGGGGCAACUGGAAUUCUCGGUGUAGCGGUGAAAUGCGUAGAUAUCGAGAGGAACACCUGCGGCGAAGGCGGGUUGCUGGGCUGACACUGACGCUGAGGCGCGAAAGCUAGGGGAGCGAACGGGAUUAGAUACCCCGGUAGUCCUAGCCUUAAACGAUGAAUGCUUGGUGUCUGGGGUUUUAAGUCCCCGGGUGCCGUC